Unclassified non-coding RNA from Macaca fascicularis (crab-eating macaque), 148 nucleotides. It matches the Rfam family "Metazoan signal recognition particle RNA". Rfam says of the family: The signal recognition particle (SRP) is a universally conserved ribonucleoprotein. The record is from Ensembl. NCBI's taxonomy places the organism in Eukaryota, Metazoa, Chordata, Mammalia, Primates, Cercopithecidae.
GCUGGGCGUGAUGGCACAUGCUUGUAGUCCUAGUUACUUGGGAGGCUGAGGUGGGAGGUUCACUUGGGCCUAGGAGGCUGAGGGUGCAGUGAGCUAUGAUCAUGCCACUGCACUCCAGCCUGGGCAACAUAAGGAGACCCCAUCUCUA